Molecule: ribosomal RNA, 460 nt
Filed under: uncultured bacterium
Lineage: Bacteria
Description: partial 16S ribosomal RNA
Rfam family: Bacterial small subunit ribosomal RNA
Source: RNAcentral
CCUACGGGUGGCAGCAGUGAGGAAUAUUGGUCAAUGGGCGAGAGCCUGAACCAGCCAAGUCGCGUGAAGGAUGACGGCCCUACGGGUUGUAAACUUCUUUUGUCAGGGAGCAAUUGAGUCCACGUGUGGGCUUAGCGAGAGUACCUGAAGAAAAAGCAUCGGCUAACUCCGUGCCAGCAGCCGCGGUAAUACGGAGGAUGCGAGCGUUAUCCGGAUUUAUUGGGUUUAAAGGGUGCGUAGGCGGAAUGUCAAGUCAGCGGUAAAAAUUCGGGGCUCAACCCCGUCGUGCCGUUGAAACUGAUGUUCUUGAGUGGGCGAGAAGUAUGCGGAAUGCGCGGUGUAGCGGUGAAAUGCUUAGAUAUUGCGCAGAACCCCGAUUGCGAAGGCAGCGUACCGGCUCCACACUGACGCUGAGGCACGAAAGCGUGGGUAUCGAACAGGAUUAGAUACCCCUGUAGUC